This 42371-nucleotide long non-coding RNA is filed under the name Nicotiana benthamiana. RNAcentral describes it as "long non-coding RNA (NBEN_LNC036659)". The record is from RNAcentral. Lineage: Eukaryota; Viridiplantae; Streptophyta; Magnoliopsida; Solanales; Solanaceae.
GGGAGGAAAAGCAGCAUAUCAGGAUAUCUUUGCCUUAGAGAAGUCCAUUUCUAGAUGCUCUGCCAUCCAGAAAUACGACGAAAAAUAUGUUUUAAAAUUUUAAAAGAAAUUAAAAAGUAAAAAUAAUAAAAAUAAAAAGUUAUAAAGAAAAUAAAUUAAAAUAAAAACAAAAAGGAAAGAAACUAAAAAGCAACCUUGUAAUUACACAAUGUAAUUACCACCAAUUCUCACAUUCCCCUUGAGAAUUGGAGAGAGUAACUACACCCCUCCAAUUACACCCAAUUCCAUGUUGACCAAGUAAUUACUUGGCCAAACAAACAUGCCAAACUGUGUAAUUAUACCCAAUUACACCCAAAUCCAUUUCCAAGGUGGUUUUCCAAACAGGCUCUUAGUUUCUGGAUUCAAUGAGAGAGCAAUAGAAGUAUUCGUAUUUCGUGUAUCAUCCUAAUCUUCUUUCCUUGCUGAGCUCUCAGAAGAUGUUAAAGAGCUUUCAAGUGAACACAAGAUUUCACCAUUCAAUUGUUUUCUCUCUGUAUCUUUUGAAAUUGAACCAUCAAUUUUUGUUAUUGUUGUUCCUUUCCUUCACCGAGCCGAGGGUCGAUUGGAAACAGCCUCUCUGCCGUUUCGGGUAGGGGUAAGGCCCGUCUACANNNNNNNNNNNNNNNNNNNNNNNNNNNNNNNNNNNNNNNNNNNNNNNNNNNNNNNNNNNNNNNNNNNNNNNNNNNNNNNNNNNNNNNNNNNNNNNNNNNNNNNNNNNNNNNNNNNNNNNNNNNNNNNNNNNNNNNNNNNNNNNNNNNNNNNNNNNNNNNNNNUUUUUUAAUUUCUGUUAUUGCUGAUAAGGGAGAACUUGGUCAACUACCUAUGUUAACCAUUGAAACUAAUUGAGAGAGUUCAGCUUUAGCUAGUUCCUCUCCAACUGAAGAAGUACCAUAACCUGCUAGUGUUUCUUGUGCUUUCUUCAGAACUGAUUGUAAAUACUUGCCUUGAGCUUGUAUCCUUAGUUGUAAAUGUCUUUGUACCUCAAUCUGUUGAUGAAGUUUCUUCUGUACCUCCAUUUGCAUUUGUAAAGCUCUAGCUAUUUGCAAACUCUCAUUACUAUUCAUAGGCACUAUUCACAUAAAUUUUUUUGUGAAAAAUGGCGCCGGAAGAAGGGAAGCUUAAGAUUGACAAGUUCAAUGGCAAAGAUUUUGGAUUCUGAGAGAAUUAUUUGUACUAGAGAAAAUUAUACUUACCUCUGACCGAGGUAAAACCACAGAAUAUGGCCAAAGCGGAUUGGGAUCUAUUAGAUUGCCGAGCUCUUGGUGUGAUUCGUUUGACGUUAAAAUGAAAUGUAGCGUUUAACAUCAUUAUCGAGAAGACUACUGCAGGCCUGAUGAAGGCAUUAUCAAAUACGUACGAGAAGCGAUCUGCUUCAAAUAAAGUCUAUUUUAUGCGUCAAUUGUUCAACUUAAAAUGACAGAAGGUGAAUUUGUCAUGGAACAUAUCAAUGAGUUUAAUAUAAUAUUAACUCAGUUGAAUUCUGUUAAUAUAAAAUUUGAUGUCGAAGUCAGGGCAUUGAUUCUACUAUCUCUCUACCAGAGAGUUGGCUUGCGGCGAUAAUUGCAGUUAGCAGUUCAUCGGGAAGUACCAAACUCAAAUUGAAUGAUAUUAGAGACGUGGUUCUAAGCGAAGGUAUUCGUCAAAGAGAAUGAAAUGAUUAACCAGGAUCUGCUUUUAAUACUGAAAGCAGGGGGCAAAAGCAGUCAAAGAGGACAAAGUCAUGAUCGUGGAAGAUAACUUAAGGAGAAGAGGGCAAUCCAAAAAUCGCAUGGACAUUACUUGUUGAAAUUGCGAUAAAAGGGGUUAGUACAAUAGUCAAUGUAGAGAACCAAAGAAGAAGGAAGAAAAUUCAGCAAAUGUAAUUGCUGAACUAGUUAGUGAUGCACUAAUUUGUUGUGCAGAUAGUCCAGUCGAAUCUUGGAUUCUGGACUCAGGUGCAUCCUUUCACUCUACAUCAUGCAAAGAAUUAUUGCAUAAUCAGUUGAAAAUAGUAGACGGCGAACCUCUAGUAGACGGCGAACCUCUCGACAUUGCGGGGAAAGGUGAAGUUCGUGUAAAUAAAGAAAAAUCAAAAAGAGAUGAAAUAUGAUGUAAGCGCUUACACCGACAUGGGUUACCUAGCAGCAGUGUUACAAAUAGCGUCCGCUACAACGCUAAAAGCAUGUAGUGAGGCGAGGCGAGGGUGUGUCGCUUCAAAUCACCUGUUGCGUUGCGAUUCAAAAUAGUGGUCGCCUCUCCCUGUGUUGCGCGAGGCGACAGUGUCGCGAGAAGCGACUGUAGCGUCGGUAUUUUUAUUUUUAAAAAAUAGUAAGGGCGAAGACUUAAGUCGGGAAUUAGGGGUUGACAUUUGGUCUUCAAGCUUUUCACCUGCGAACAAAACAACAGAGGUUUCAGCGAUUAGGGCUUUUUACCUGCGAACAAAACAACAGUCUUCUUCUUCAUCGUCUGCCUUCAUCUUCUUCAAGCUUUAGCAGAGGUUUCUUCCAUUGAAAGACCAUGUAUGCUUCUUCUUCUUUCUCCUUUCUCCUUUCUCCUUCUCUUCUUCUUUCUAUUUUUUCCCCCCUGUUUUUUGUCGAAAGAAAUAGAGCCAAAUAGGGUUUGUUUUUGUGCUGUAUUUGUCGAGCAAAAACUGAGGUCUUUUUUCUUCUCUUAAUUUUUUUUUUAUUUGCUGUUUUUCCAGAGGCAAAAAAUUUUAUUUUUGUUCUUCUUUCUUUGUUGUUCCAGAGGCAGAAUCAUUUCGUUUUUUUGCUCUUUUUUUUAAUCUUCUUUCUUUGCUGCUUUUCCAGAGUCAGUAGCCCUUUUUUGUUUGCUCUGUUUUUUCAACUAUAGAAUUAUAAUAUAAUAGAAUAGAAUAAAUUGCAUAUUGACUUGAUAAUUUUGUUUCUAUAAAACAGAGUUGAAAAUUGAAUAUUAAAUACAAUAGAACAUUGAGGCGACGUUAUGAAACUCACGAUACCAUUGAUCCAAUUUUGUUGGACAACAUGGAUGAGACAAAUGAAUGGUUAGCUGAAGCCCCCUCAAAACCAUGAAGAAGAACAAGUGUAUGAAGGAGAGAUCUUGAUUGGGGUACCGUUUCUAUGGCGGUUGGAGUUGAGGAGAAUAUCUAUGGACUUAAAAGGAGUUCUUUAAGUUACAAGGGAAAGAGAGUAGCAAGUUCAGCCGGUCCCAAAUUGAUGAAGAAUCCGAGGAUGAAGAAGAUGAUAGCCAAUAUAAUGCUAACAUUCAUGAAGUUGUAGAAUUUGAAAAUCUUGAAGAAGAAUAGACGUUGCUUGUUUUAGACUAGUAGACUUUAGUUAAUGAAUCUACUAUGACUAUCUAUUGAGUCUUUAAUUUUUGAAUUGAUAUAUUAAUAAAUAUAUCAUCCCUCGUCGCUAUUUGUCACCGCGUGCUAUCCAAAAACUGUACAGAUGUACUGUUUGGUUUAUAGAGCCCGUUUGGAUUGGCUUGUUUUAAGUGCUUUUAAGACAUUUUGUAGUGUUUAUAUAAAGUAAAAAAGUGCGUUUAAGCACUUGUUUUUAAGCUAAAAUGACAAAAACAAGCCAAAAGUUAGAAUUCCUAACUUAUGGCUUAAAAGUCACUUAAAAACAAGCCCAUCACGGAACAGUGCAAAAAAGGCACUAUUUUUUUAUUAGUGUGUUCCAAAAAAAUACAUUUUUAAAUUUUAAUAUAAUUUAAUUUUAAACGUCUCAUUUUAUCCUUAAAUAGAAGUUUCUAAAGCCACACACAUAUUAUGUUUAAGAUCACAAAUUUCAAAAAUUUUAAAAUCACACAAAUAUUAUGACAUGUUUGACAUCACAAAUCUUAAAAGUCGUUCCUUUAUAUAUAUAUAUAUAUAUAUAUAUAUAUAUAUAAUAUUUUAUGUUUUUGUAUAAAUGCACAUCAAAAAGGCGAGCGCUUCGCUGCGCACCUCUCGCCUCAGUGAAGCGGGCCCUCGUUGCUAUUUGUCGCUGCACGCUAUCCAAAACAUUGCCUAGCAGACAACGAAUCUCUGAAAAUUGUCGGGAAAGGUGAAGUUCAUAUAGAAACUUCGCAAGGCACACUGUGGAAAUUGCAAAAUGUCCGACAUGUUCCUGGCCUGAAGAAAAAUCUGAUAUCUAGAAGCAGAUUGACAAUGAAGGAUAUAUAACAACAUUCGGUAACGAAUUGUGGAACAUAACCAAAGGAAAUUUGGUUGUGGCACGAGGCUUCAAGAAGGGAACACCGUAUGCAACUGCAAUACAGAGAGAUACUAUAGCAACAAUUAAUCAUGGUUGUCAUACAACAUUGUGGCACCGAAGGCUCGGGCAUAUGAGUGAGAAGGGAAUGAAGUUGUUGGCAUCUAAAUAAAAGUUGACAACCUAAAGCAUGUUGAAUUAGGUUUGUGCGAAGAUUGCAUUUACGGAAAACAAAAGAGAUUUAGUUUCUCAAAGGCGGGAAGGACACCAAAGAGCGAGAAGCUGGAACUAGUCUCAAAGGAGGGAAGGACGCCAAAGAGCGAGAAGCUGGAGCUAGUCUCAAAGGAGGGAAGGACGCGAAAGAAAGAGAAGUUGGAACUAGAUGUGUGGGGACCAGCUCCUAUAACUUCUCUGGGAGGCUCACGUUAUUAUGCCACCUUCAUUGAUGAUUCCACAAAAAAGGUAUGUGUUUAUUUUCUAAUGUGUUUGUACUUUUAAAAGAUAGAAAGCUGAAGUUGAAAAACAGACAAGUCUAAAGUUAAAAUGCCUGAAGUCUGACAAUAGAGGAGAGUAUGAUAGUCAAGAGUUAAAAGCAUUAUGCUCUGAGAAAGAGAUCAGAAUGAUCAAGAUAGUUCCUGGAAUACCGGAACAAAAUGACAUUGCUGAAAGGAUGAACAAAACCCUGAAUGAACGAGCCAAAAGUAUGAGAAUACAUUCUGGAUUGUCGAAGUAAUUUUGGGCCGAGGCUGUUAAUACAGUAGCUUACCUCAUAAAUAAGGGACCCUCUAUACCACUGAAUAUUGAAAUUUCUUGAGGAGGUAUGGAUAGGAAAGGAGGUAACUCUCUCACAUAUGAAAUUUUUUGGUCGUGUUGCUUAUGUGCAUGUAAACUCGAAUGAUAGAGAUAAGCUUGAUCCUAAAGCUAAGAAAUGUUUCUUUAUUAGCUAUUUUGAUGAUAAUUUUGGUUUAUCGAUUUUUGAAUGAUCAGGAUAGAAAGAUCCUAAGAUACAGGAAUGUCACAUUUAAUGAAAAUUUGAUGUACAAAGACAAGCUUGAAGUCGAACCAACCAACACAAGCAAACAAUCAUCUAAAACAGUUGAGUUAGAAGAAAUAUCAGAAAAUGAAGUGGCCAGAGGAAUUACAAUUGAUUCUGAAAUUGAGAAUGAAGAACUAGAAGCCGAAUCUGGAUCAGAACCAAAAUCGAAACCAGAGAUAGAAUCAACUCGGGAUGUUGAACCUACAUUAUAAAAAGUCAAGAAUGCUCCAGAUAGGUUAACUCUCUCUCAUCUAUUCUUUCAAGGCUAGCUUCCACUUAUCAGAGUUUAUCAGCUGCAUUAGCCUUGAAAGAAUAGAUGAAUUAUCUUCAAAAGAAUAAAACAUGGAUACUUGCAGAGUUAACCAAAAGGAAAGAAGGCAUUACAGAACAAGUGGUUCUAAAGAGUCGAGGAAGAGCAUGAUGAUAAGAAGAGAUACAAAGCACGAUUAGUAAAUGGCUUUCAGUAGAAGGAACGAAUUGACUACACCGAGAUCUUCUCUCCUAUAGUCAAAUUAACUACUAUCAAGUUGGUGCUAAGUAUUGUAGCUGCAGAAAAUGUGCAUUUAGAGCAGCUAGAUGUUAAAAUUGCUUUCUUGCAUGGUGACCUUGAAGAACACAUUUACAACGUGAAGGUUUUCAAGUUUAUGGUAAAGAAAAACAUUUUGAGUAAGUUGAAGAAGAGUUUGUAUGGUUUGAAACAAGCUACCCGACAAUGGUACAAGAAUUUGAUGGAUUCACGGAUAACAAUGGUUUCAUGUGAGAUUGACCAUUGUUGUUAUAUCAAAAAUCUUGAUGAAUGCUAUAUCAUUUUACUGUUGUACGUUGACGAUAUGCUAAUUGCAGGAUCUAGCAUAAAAAAGAUCAACAUGGUUAAGCAACAACUGGCGGAGGAGUUUGAAAUGAAAAACUUAGAACCAACUAAGCAAAUGCUUGGGAUGAGGAUUAGCAUAAACAUGUCUGAAGAAACCUUAAAAUUGUCUUAAGAAAAAUACAUACAGAAGGGACUAAACAGCUUCAAUCUUCAUGAUACAAAGACCAGAAGCACUCCACUCAGAAAAGUUAACAAAUACAUCAGAUUUAUUUUUUGGAAAAUAAACCCAUACCUUUCUUGUGGAACCAUCAAUGAGCGUGAGCCUCCUAGAGAAGUUACAGGAGCUGGUCUCUAUACAUUUGUAUGCACUAGUUUUAGCUUCUCUUUCUUUGGUGUUCUUCUCGCCUUUGAGAAACUCUCUCUUUUGUUUCCCGUAAAUGCAAUCUUCGCACGAACGUAAUUCAACAUGCUUUAGGUUUGGCAACUUUUCUUUGGAUGCCAACAACUUCAUUCUUUUCUUACUCAUAUGCCCGAGCCUCCGGUGCCACAAUGUUGUAUCACGACCAUGAUCAAUUGUUGCUAUAGUAUCUCUCUGUAUUGUAGUUGCAUACAGUGUUCCCUUCUUGAAGCCUCGUGACACAACCAAAUUUUCUUUUGUUAUCUUCCACGAUCCGUUACCGAAUGUUGUUGUAUAUCCUUUACUGUCAAUCUGACCUAUAGAUAUCAGAUUUUUCUUGAUGCCAGGAAUAUGUUGGACAUUUUGCUAUUUUCAUAGCGUUCCUUCUUUGGGUUUCUACAUUGGCUAUUGUAGUGUGCUUUUUAUCGCAAUUCCAAUAAGUAAUGUCCGUGCGAUUUUUGGAUUGCCCUCUUCUCCUUGACUUUGAUCUACCAUGACCAUGAUUUUAUCCUCUUGGUUGCUUCUCCCCCUGCUUGCGGUAUUAAAAGCAGAUCCUAGGGAUUACUUGAUUCUCUUCGGCGAAUAUCUUCACCUAGAACCAAGUCUCUAAUAUCAUUCAAUUUGAGUUUGGUACUUCCCGAUGAACUACUAACUGCAGUUACUGUUGCAGACCAACUCUCCAGUAGAGAUGAUAGUACAAUCAAUCAAUGCCUGACUUCGUCAUCAAAUAUUAUAUUAACAGAAUUCAACUGAAAUAUUAAACUUAUUGAUAUAUUAUGUUACAACACCUUCUGUCAUCUUUAAGUUGAACAAUCGACACAUCAAAUAGACUUUAUUUGAAGCAGAUGGCUACUCGUGCAUAUUUGAUAACGUCUUCAUCAGACCUGCAGUGGUCUUCUCGGUAAUGAUAUUAAACGCCACAUUUCGUAUUAGCGUCGAACGAAUCACACCAAGAGCUUGAUGAUCUAAUAGAUCCCAAUCCGUUUUUGGUCAUAUUCUGUGGAUUUACCUCAGUCAAAGAUAAGUGUAAUUUUUUCUGGUACAAACAAUCUUUAUUUGCAUUUUUUGGAAUCGAAAAUCUUUGCAAUUCAACUUGUCGAUCUUAACCUUCCCCUCUACCUAUGCCAUUUUCACAAAAAAAAAAUUAUAUGAAUAGUGACAAUGAGUACUAUUCCGUGUAAAAAAAAAUAUUCCAACCAUACAAGGUAGACUACAAUCACUAUUGGUGAACAAUACUAUCACUGUUAAUGGAUAGUACUUCACUAUUGUGAAUAAUGUUAGUAAUGAUGAUCACUGGUGUCGCAUUAUGCUUGUGAAUAAUAUCUGCACCAAUACCGUACUUUUCUACUAAAAUUACACUGUCUGUGCUCUGGAACUAGUUUUUGGGACUUGGGAAGAGUGUCUGGCUAAUAGAAAGAAAAAAAUAUUUAAAGGAGAAAAAGCAAUAAAUUGCACAAAACAGAAUAUGGUGCGGCAAUUUUUUCCUACUCCACGGCUACUCAAAGAAAAAGUUCUUUAUUAAUUGAAGAGGAAGAAGAAUUUGAGGGAUGAUUUUCAAUUGAGAAAAGGGAUGCCUAUUUAUAGGCAGAGCGUUGCCGAAAGGAAAGUUUCAACGAAUGUAAAUACGAAGAGGACGGCACCGCAAAUUGCGCGCCGAAUUCUUUUUUCACAUUUGCAGCCUGCCAACUUGACUUUUCCACUUUUUUUUUCUUCUCUCUGUCUUCGUUUACAACUUUGUUUUUCCACGUUUUCUUUGUUCUCUUUGUCUUCUUUUACAGCUUUUGUCUCCUUUCUUUUAUUUCUUUUACAUUUGGGUUUGUUCCUUUCAAAUGUCUACACCUGCAUCUUUAGGGUUUCUUGUUACCAAAUGUUAUCACCUUCUUCAGUCAUGUAUAGUGGUGGCAAAAGGAUAACAAAAAUAGUUAUCCAUCUAUAUUAUUCACUUAAAAAUAUGUUGGAUAAUGAACUUUUUAAAAAUGGAUCAAAUAUGGAUAAGAACCAUAUUAUCCACUUAAAAAUGAGUAACCAAUGAGUUAACUUUUAUAUUUGUGAAUACUCAAAUUGGGAUUUCCUCAAGUUUGGGAGAUUAAGCCAGCGUCUGAACAUAGAUUUGAUUGAAAUUUUUAAAAAAAAGAUUUUGAAUUGUUGAAAAAUAUUUUUGGAAGUUGAAGUUCUGUUUGGACAUAUAUUUUAUUCAAAGAAAAGUUGAAAUUUUGUGAGUGGAAAAAAAAAUUCACCCAUAACCUGUGUGAACUUGAAAAUUUCUAAAAAAAAUUCUCCUAAAUCAUGAUCAUAUUUUAUCUGCAUUUUGCAUUACCUGUUUUCGACCUGUCCAUAUCCGACCCAACCAACCGUUUGACACCCCUAUUCAUGUAUCAACUCAGUGUUUCUCAAAUCUUGAAGCGUGCACCCUGCGUCCAGCAUGAGAUUCUACUGUUUUCUAAUUUGCUUCCUCUUUUUAUUGGUAAAUAAUUUAAUUAGAAGUGAAGCGUAUUAAUGUGCUUGCCGAAUCGUAUCCUUCUAACUUUUUCUUUUAAAUGUUGAUUGGUUAAAGACCUGCUAAUUUUUGUUUGUUUUACUUGCUAAGAAUUCUAAUAUCACUUGUUAUAGCCAACUUUAGUAGUAGUUGUUGAUAUGCUUUUUCACAUAUAUUAAUUUGGGUAUGUUGUUGUAUUUUCACGGUGUAGGAUAAUACUGGGUAUGUUAUUGUUGUAUUAUCCCAUUCUAUUUUAAGAGCUGUAUCGUGUGAGUCAAUAUUGGCUAAUUUAAAAAUGCAAUAUCCUCAUUGAACUGUUGUCUUAUCUUACAUAAUCAGGAGGAAAUCGAAGUUGAAGCCACAGUAUUACGUGUUGGGAAGACAAUUGGUGUUGUCAGUGUUGAGUUGAGGAAGAAAGAGACAGGGAAGAUAGUUGCACGAGGUCGUCAUACCAAGUAUUUGGCUGUUAACAGUAAGCUUUGAGCUACUACAUAUACAUUUGCUGCGCACACAGAACAAUCCCCUAAAUCCUUUCCGAGGAAAUUUUACCAUAUAACAAGUAUUUUUAGCAUGUAUAAUAUUACUCAACUGAACAUUCAAGUAAAGGCGUACGUACGUACAUGCUCAUUUUAUGUAGUUAAUUACAAAUCAACAGUGUAUCCUGUACUGCAAUAUUAUAUUUUCCUUCAUAAUAAAGAUGGAGUUCUUACACUAAAGUGAGUUGAUGUGCCAUAAGAAGUGCAAAAUGGCAUUUGAUUUUGUGUUACAAAAAUUGGUUUCCUGAAUGGAUUUGCUAGGUUGAUGAGGUCUCUUGACAACAUAUGCCUUCUUGUAAGAAAAUCCUUCCAUUUGGGGUCCAUAAUAGGAAUUCCACACAUUCAAAUGCCAUACUGCGACAUACAUGGAAAUGGGUAAGAUAGUUGAAACUGAUUCUCUUUGAUGCAUGAAACUUGAUCUAACUCAACCCCAAAGCUAGCUCUCCAUCCCCCUCCCCCCAUACCUAAGGCUGGACAUCUGGAGCAUGGACAAUUCAAUAUGGGGGUCCAACAUCGGUAUCCUACUUUGAUACCAUGUUAAAUGAAUUAGACUUUGAGCUUUGUUAUCAUAUUAAAAUGUGUGACCAUCUUAUCUAAAAGCUAAAGUUGUUAGAGAGAACGCAAUUUUAUUUACUUGUUAUGCAACAAUCUUUUCUCUGGGAUAAAUUUUGUUAACAGUACUAUAAUUGAAUAGGUUCACAGUGUAGCAAAGAUUCAAAAAUAGCCGUCCAUUUAAACUGUAUAAUCGAAUAAUUAAAGACAGAACAAAGGCUAACAUAUUGAAGAAAUUGCGCUUUGUUACUGGUGUCUUAAGUCUAAAGUUCUAACCUUGGACAAAGAAAGGUAAAAAGACCAGCCAUCAAUAAAAGCAGGGGAAGGAUCAAGUUUAAUACAAGGAAACCUAAUACUUCUAGUAGUAAAUAAAUGUCCAUAGUUGGACCUUCAUGUCAAAGGGAAAUUAGAAAGGUCACUCGGAACUCGCUCUGACUAGUUGGUGGAUCAUACGUUUUCUUCACUCUGUACGAGUCCAAGUGCUUCUCCUAAAUUCAAAUUGUUUCUUAUGGUCCUCCUUCCAACGCCUCCACCUGUGCCUUUCCUCAUCAUUGCAGAAAAUUCCUUAUAGUCUAUCUGUCCAUCCUGCAAAUUGGAAGUUCUUUUUUAGUGCGGAAAACUCAAGAACAGACGUUAAGAAUCAAACAUCAGUGUACUAGAGUCAACAGAAAAACAAAGUACAAGUUGCACAUAAAAGGAAUUAGUAUCGAGAAGUUGAUAAGUGGACUGUCAGUGUGCUGAUAGGAACUCAAACAAAUAACUAAACCUUCACAAGAGAGUGAGAAAAUUAGGGCUCUAUUUAGCUGCACAACAUUAAACAACUUAAAAAGAAAUUGCUCGGAUUGAUACAAGCAGAUUCUUAUGUUACUAUACAUAGUUUAAAUCAGUAAACUCGUCUUCAGCACUGUAAAUGCAGUACAAAAUGAGACUCGCUGAAUGGUUUCUUUCAAAAUCAUAAAAUAGCUCAGAGCAGAAAUAAAACAUCAGCAGAUUUCACGAUUUACAGCCUUCAAUUAUAUGAUGCAUCUAGUGGAAUGGGGGCUGCGGAGAUCGGGCUAGAGGAACAGUCGCUGCCAUUCACAACUCAGAAGGCAUGCAUGGAGAUUCUGUCUGUCGGAGGUUCGAGAAUUAAGAGCUGCUAUAAUGUUUUUGGCUUUAAGUGUGUGCUUGAUAUUGUGUGCAUAUCUGGAGAGCUAGGGCCCAGUAAGCAAAUAACAGGAGAUUCUACUCUAAACGGAAGACUAGUUGGCACUGUUUGAUUAGAUAAGUUAUCCUUCCUAAGAUGCUAGGGGUCUAUUGAAAUACUUGUACAUGGGAAGUCAAGGUAUUGUCAUGAAAUCCUUCAUAAGCACUGCCUAACAUGCCUUCUUUAGCCGAGGGUCUAUCGGAAACAAUCUCUCUACCCUUCCAGGUAGGGGUAAGGCUAAGAUUAUACUGGGUGGCUGUUGUUGUUGUUUUUGUUGCACUGCCUAACAUGAUGAAGACGGGACUUGCACUGCCUAGCAUGCCUUCUUUAGUCGAGGGUCUAUCGGAAACAAUCUCUCUACCCUUCCACGGUAGGGGUAAGGCUGCGUAUAUCCUAACCUCCCCAGAGAAUUCUGGGUGGUCGUUGUUGUUUUUGUUGCUAACAUGAUGAAGACGGGACAGGAGUAGGUCAUUAAUGGGCUUUUAGUUCUUAUGUUUGAACAGAUCGCUUUUAGAAAGAAACAAUAUGGCAGUCAAAGGAAAAAACUUCUACUUCCUCUUUUGUGGUGGGAGGGUGUCGGUAAUAGUACUUGGCAUCACUUACUUUUGUCCAUUGACAGUUUUCUUUCAGCAUAUUUUGCACAAAUUAUGUUCCUUCUUUUAGUUAGCUAAAAAGAGAGGAAAAAGCAACUCCUCAAGUACACUAACUUAUGACGGGAGCAAUUGGGCGUUCAACUAAAAACUUAAGGCAAUUAAUGAAGUGAAAAAAGACCUUUAUAAACUCUUACGGAUGUCCAUGUUUGGCCACUAUAUAACUCAACACCCAUCCGAGUGCAUCUGAGGUUCUCGCACAGACUUUAAUGUGUAUUUAUGGGCAUGCAAAUGAGCUUGCUAAAGUUGGCUCUAAUCCACAGAAAGAUUAUGAGCAUCCAACCCUUAAGGCAAUGGGUAGAGCGGCACGAUCUUUAUAAACCCCUUUGGAUGUCUUUUAAUACGUUAGGGGACAGUAUGUAACUCAAACUUACCUUUACUCCUUACAUAUGUGCAUGACAGAAAAACAAAAGAGAACAGAACUUACAUUAUCUUGAUCAAUAUCUUUAAUAAUUUCAUCAAGAUUAAGCUCGCUAAGACCAAAUUCUUUGCAGGCUUGCUGAAGUUCUUCGAUAGUUAUGUAUCCACUACCAUCUUUGUCAAAAUAAGAGAAGGCUGAUAACAGAUUCUCUUCCCUUUCCAAUUUGUUCAAAUGAACAGUAGCGGCAAUAAAUUCCCCAUAGUCUAUUGUUCCAUUGUUGUCGAUGUCUGCCUGUCAGACAAAAUAUGGUUGGAUCCGUGUAGUCAAAUGAGCAGAAAAAUUAUACUAUAUAAGAGCAUAAACAAGAGUGUGUGAUUAGAGGACUAGGUGAAGAUAUCUCGAAGACACAAAAACAUGGUGAGGAGAAUUCUUACUGCAUCCAUAAGAUCCUUGAUCUCGGACUCCAUCAAUUCAGAACCUACUCGCCUCAAACCCUCUUUUAAUUCCUCAAAGGUUAUUGUUCCACUAUUGUCUGUGUCUAACAUUUUGAAUAGCUCCUUGAGACCACCAAUUUCUUCUUCUGAAAGCCUCUCGGCAAUCACCUACAAAUAACAAGGAAUUUAAUAAGACAUUGAACACUGAAUAGGAAUUGAUAGUGACUGGACUUGUCAAUAUAAAUAUCAUAUAGAUAGCAGAGAGAAGCACCACAAUUUUAUUUGUAACUUCCAUCCAAAAAGAAAAACCUCCAUUCAACAACGAUGUCAGCAAAAAUUAGGACAAUCAUUGAGUUCAUAUUAUCCUGGUUAUUUCGUAACAAAUUUUCACUUCAAAUGUCAUCAGCAACACAUUAUCAACUGAAAGGGGAAUGGGAUACUUUCAGCAGGAUUUAUGAGAAAAACCUAUAAUUUCUAUGCACAUUUCUCUUUCUCAGGAAAAAAUAGCUUUUCGCCAGGAUUUCGAGUACAAAUCGCCACAAGCAGGACUUAGAUCCCAGUGGAAGAAAAAUAUAAGUAGUGUGAUGUCAGCAUCUGUUAAAAAUUGAGUUACUUCUGGUAAAAACUGCAAGAGGAUCAUCCUUUCGCUCCAAAUUGCAAGAUAAAAAUUCCAUUACCAAUAUAGUGGCCCAUUCCUUAGUGCAAUUGAAUUUUGUGGUUGUUCAAUCUCCUUUUUUCCCCGAUCCUCUUUUUAGCUUUUCUCAUUCCAUACAUGUUCUCUCACGGAAGCAUGCUUCAGGAAAUAAGAAGAUAAAAACAGCAAAAGCAUUUAUCGGGGAAAUGCUUUUGCUGUUUUUAUCUUCUUAUUUCCUGAAGCAUGCUUCCGUGAGAGAACAUGUAUGGAAUGAGAAAAGCUAAAAAGAGGAUCGGGGAAAAAAGGAGAUUGAACAACCACAAAAUUCAAUUGCACUAAGGAAUGGGCCACUAUAUUGGUAAUGGAAUUUUUGUCUUGCAAUUUGGAGCGAAAGGAAUUCAAUUGCACUAAGGAAUGGGCCACUAUAUUGGUAAUGGAAUUUUUAUCUUGCAAUUUUUCUGGAACAGAAAUUACAAAGACAGAAUAUGGAUAAGACAAUGCAGGAGACCUGAUUACUGGAACCUAUGCUCACUGGUACUCAUUUUGAUAUAACAUCAGUUUUGACUAUAUAAUCAAUAAUUGCACCAAAAAUUAACUGUUGGAAAAGAACAACUUAUGGCAUACAUAUCAGUAUCAUGAAAAACUGCUAACAAGUUUGCAACUUUUAGACAGCACUGUAUUCAAAAUGCUAUCCUAAUAAACCAUUCUGGAAAAACUACAUAUAGAGCAACAUAUCCCUCCAUAAUCGUCAGCCAUUGGAACUGCCAAUUCUGCAGUUCCAGGGGUCAUUGGCAUUAAAAUUUUAGUCACUUUCGGCUUGAUAUUGCGGCAUGAUACAGAAUUUUAUUCAAAGAGAAUUCACAUUCUAAAACGAUGUUUGUUUACCAAUCCAAAACAAAAAAAGAGGAGAAUUCACAUUCUAAAAUUUGGUGGCAAUCAUCUAACUCUUUAAAACUUACAACAUUUAAAUGACUGAGCUGGUUCAUUCCAAACAGAACAUAUAAGGAGGUAGCUUCAUUGUCUCAAUCCUUCAUGCUUUUCACUUUUAGAUAAAAGAAAGGGAACAAUUUAAACUCUCGCAUAACUAUGAUAUGUCAAAGAAAUACACUUGCUAACAAUUUCAAGGUUCUUUAUUAAAUGGCUUUUCUGCAAUUUAGUAUUUCAAGAAGCAGCAAUUAAGGUGCUUGAGCCUUAUCUUAUGUUUACUGGGGAAAAAGUCCAGUCAAAGUCAUAAACAUCGUUUCAAUUUUUUAGAUACCAUUAAGUGCCUAGUUAAAUGCUUUUUCAAUUAAUCGGAGUAGUACGGCUGACAACCUCAAGAAAUCUUUCCAAGCUUCUAUAGACUCGGUUACUUCAGCUUUAGGGCUUUCCCUUACACCCAAACCACAACGAAUAAAAUAAAGCAGCGACUUUUUAUUUUUGUGCAUUUUGUAUCAUAGGUAAUAACUCUUUCCUUCCAGUACUCCACAUGGGAAAGGCCAAAUACAUACACAGACCCUCUAACUUGGCACGAAGUUUCAUGUUGGAACCUUAUCUCAACUAGGUUUCAAUUGACUGCCUUAUGUAUGCUCAAACUGUAUCAUUUUAAACCCCUCAUUACUUGCCAACAAGAAAUAUUGAAUGCGUGAACUAUAUGUGCAGUGAUGUGGCAAAAUGUCAAAUGAAAACAAGCGAAGUGGCUUUUGAGUCUAACUAAUCAGGAGAUCUUUCCUAUGGGAAGGAAUUAGUGAAGGCCAUAAAUUCCAUCUAGUGAAACGGCCAAAAGUAAUCAUGCCAAGAAACCAAGGAGGCUUGGGAAUCAGAGACUUGUCAAAGCACAAUAAGAGUUUGCUCAUGAAAUGGUGGUGGAGGUAUGCUCAAGAAUCAACAUGCUUGUGGAAGAAGUUAGUUAAUGCCAAAUAUGGGAUACAAGACAGGUGGUGCACCAAGCAAGGCAGGGCUCCACAUGGAGUUGGCCAUGGAAGCGCAUCAACAAUCUACAAGAAGCUUUUUUUCAAGAAGUAUCCUAUAAGGUUGCAAAUGGCAACAACAUCAAAUUUUGGAAGGAUAGAUGGCUCAACAAUCAACCCCCGAAAGAUUCCCAUCCUGGCCUCUAUCAGAUUGCCUUUGACCCCAACUCUUUUAUUGCACAAAAUAGAGAAGGGAGCACGUGGGACCUCCACUUCAGAAGAAACAUGCAGGAUUGGGAGCUAAAUCAGCUUAUAGACCUUUACAGAAAUCUGGAAGGUGCUGAAGGGAACUCUCAAGUCUCAGACACCUUAAGGUGGGGCAGCUCUGAAAAAGGCAUCUACACGGUCAAGGCUGGAUACAUCAAUCUAAGUGUUUCAAAUGAUAUGAUCGAGUCAUGGCCAUGGAAACUUAUCUGGAAGACAAAGCUGCCACCAAAAGUAAAGUGUUUCUCCUGGACAGCCCUCUAUGAAGCUAUUCACACCCAGGAUAACCUUUGCAAAAGGAAUUUCCAGAUGGCUAAUAGGUGCCACUUGUGCAGAUUAAACUCUGAGUCGGUUAACCAUCUGCUGCUCCACUGCACAGUGGCAUCAGACCUUUGGAGCAUGUUCCUUCCACUCUUUGGCACCAGUUGGACUAUACCUCAAACAAUAAGGGGAGCAGUACUUGGUUGGAGCUUAUGGGAAGUUGACAAAUCCAUCAAAAAGAUCUGGCAAAUGAUCCCGUCAUGUAUUUUUUGGUGUUUAUGGUCUGAGAGGAUUCGAAGAUGCCACAGUGGCAUCAGACCUUUAGAGCAUGUUCCUUGCACUCUUUGGCAUCAGUUGGACUAUACCUCAGACAAUAAGGGAAGCAGUACUUGGUUGGAGCUUAUGGGAAGUUGAAGAAUCCAUCAAAAAGAUCUGCCAAAUGAUCCCGUCAUGUAUUUUUUGGUGUUUAUGGUCAGAGAGGAAUUGAAGAUGUUUUGAUGGCAUUUCAACUUCCAAGGGUCAUCUGAAGCCAAAAUUUCUAAUGUGUCUUUUUAGUUGGAGUAACCUUUCCCCUGCAAAUGAUAUUAUCCCCCUCCAAGACUUCAUUAGUUCCCUUUCAAUGAUUUAGUAAUCAUUGCUUUUGCUAUUGGUUAACUCAAGGUUCUAGAUUUCUUUUUGCCCUUUGGAGUUAGCCAAGAGUUACUUCUAGUAUCCUUUUGCAUCUUCUUGAUGCCUUUUAAUACAAUACAUUACUUCAUCAAAAAAAAUCCCAAAAAACCAAUCUGAGCUAAAAAACACUAUUUUGCGCGCACGCACACACACACACUCUUCCGGAAUCCCCUUCCUCCAUAGAACCCCGGCCUCACCAUUUCUGGGAUGCCCCUCCUCCUAAAUAACACUUUAAUCACUAAACACUCCCCCAGCUUUAUCCUCUUCCUCCGUGCACACAUCUAUUUGACUAUUUUGCCUUCAAAACUGCUGGCAAUGAGUAUUCAAGUUUCAGAGAGAAAUUUUAAACAGAAAGGGGGUAGGUCGUGGGUUUGGUUUUAGUUUUAGCCCUUGGAAAACAAGUUUUGGAGAAUAAUUUAUAAUAAAAAAAUAUUGUAUGUUAAGCUUAGCUUUUGAGAAUGAUUUGUUACAUGUAUGCGUUAGUUUUUUAAAAAAAUUUAAAACUAUAUUAGAUUGUGUUGUUAAUUCAAAAACCUUUACACUCAAUCUUGAAAUCCCUAACUCUAUUCCUGCUUCUGAUUUUGGUUCUUGAAAAUGUUUGGGGUGCUGUUUUAUUUUAUGAUACGAAAUUAUCAAAUCAAUAUUCAAUGGACAUUACUGUAAUAGAAGAUCAAUGAAGCUUUUCCGGCAAUGAAUCUGGGAAGAUGAAAUGAAGGUGGAUUAUGAACAAAUAUUUGGAAAUUUGUUAGGAAGUUAUAGAUGGAAACAUGAAGUGGAAGAAAGGAAUGUGGUGGAAGUUGCCGGAAACUUCGCCGGACUUCAAUGAGUGUAGAGCACCGUUGCCGUACCAUGAAAAGAAUCCAAUUUUAAGCAAAAGUGUAACUGAGAAAACCAUUUCACGCGCUAAAAAGAUAGGUGAAACACGCAUCAUGCCAGAUCAGCAAUGUGAGUUUAAAUGACACAGUUUGAGCAUACAUGAAGUGCUCAAUAGGAACCUAGUUGAGAUAAGGUGCCAAAAUGAAAUUUCAUUCCAAGUUAAAGGGUCUGUAUGUAUUUGGCCGACGGGUAAUGUUCAAACUUGACUUGGCUCUCAGUUUCUUUGUUUGGGAUUCGUAGUUGUAGGUACGCUUGUUCUUAUGAAAGGUUUGUCAUAACAUUAUAUAAAAUGACGAUAAACAUGGAUGUAAGAAUCUUAUGUGAGUAUGAUCUGCAUUUACCGUUGCGAGGGUAUGGCUUUCAUACUCCACCCACCCCCCAACCCCGCCCCCGACAAUUUUCAUUUCUUCUUCUGUCUCUCUUUCUACUCUUCUCUUCUAUACUACUUUCUGCAUUUUUUUAAAUAUUUCAACUGCAUCUACAUCUGAUUUCACUAUAUAGACACAUGUAAGAAACUUUUUAGAUCUUACACGUAAAGCCAUUUUCUUUAAUUUGUUCAUUGCUGAGAACUGCUUGAGGCGUGAAAGAACUGCAGAGUCAAGAGGCUUAUCAGGAGCCAUUGUGUCAUCCACAAUCCAUGGAUGGCCUGACAGUCACAGGAAACAAAAAUUUAAGUCAUUGUAAAAUGUAAUUUGUUUCGACAUUUUCGAAAUAUGCAACUUCUUAGGUCUCCAGUUUCACAACUACAAGGACUUACACAGAACUUCAUGGGCAGUUAACCUCCUCUUAGGAUUCCUAUCAAGAAUUUUACGUAUCAAAUCCUUGACACUAUCUGAAAUUCCAGGCCAAGGUUCAGAUUCAAGAUCUAGUUUGCCUCGCAGUAUCUGACGAAAUAUUCCCAUAUCAGUUUCUGGAAUCAGGAAAACAAUAAUAAGAAUUAUAAGAUAGUAUGGGCAUGAAGACGAACUUUAUAACAGACUAUAUUUUCUCCUAAACACACAUGGAGAUUUCAAUACCUGCCCAAAAAGGUGGAACACCACUAAGUAAUAUGUACAAGAUAACUCCUGCACUCCAUACAUCUGAUUCAUGUCCAUAGUGCUUGCAUAAAACCUCUGGAGCAACAUAGUAAGGACUUCCAACAACAUCCGAAAAUGUUUCACCUAAUCACAAUAUCAUUAAGAAACAAAACUGUUACUAUAAAAAGGUCAGGUCGGUACUCCUUCUUUUGAUGAAGUAAGUGGUGUAUUAUUGACAAAAGCAUCCAGUGGAUGCACGUAUUACAAAAUAAAAGAAGAUAUCAGCUCCUAAGAAGAGAGCAACAAAAAUCUAUCAUAAGACUAAAGAGCUGAUAAAUUCCAUAAUUGGUCAGAGUUAUACAUAGGGGAGAGUUUAACCCAACUACAAAGAGUGACCAAACAUCUAAGCAUCCAGCCAGGUCGGUACUCCUUUUUUUUUAUUUUGCACCGGGUGUCCGAGUCUCUUCGAGCCUCGACUUAUCCCGGGGGUGCACAGGCCCUCGGCAAGGAGUUUCCCGCAAGUGCACCACAGUUAAUUCAGGUUUUACCCAGUCCGAUGGCCCUCAGAAAAGUCAGGUCGGUACUCCUAAGUUAAGUAGAAGUGAAAAAUCAGCAAUUUUCAGUAGGACAAAAUGCAACACGUUUGAAUACAUUAUAUCAGCAAACGAAACUGGUAGCUAAGUGUUAGAGACAGUAAAAUAAAACAGAACCUCGCUGGAAACAAAUAGCAGUAGAAACUAAAUUAGUAAAAGUCAACUCUCAACUGAAGCUUUUCCUUCCGUAAGACCUAGAUGAAUCGCAUAACUGCAUUCAAAAGGAAAAUGAUAUAAGACAUUUUGAAUAGAUACUCAGCGAAAAAUAGUAGGACCACUGAAAAAUUGAAGUUCACAACUACAAAAGUCAUAAUCAGAUUUAAGACAUGGUUCCCAUUUUCAUGUUCGAGAAGCCUACAUAAAUAAAUUAUAUCUGGCAUCGACCAUCUUGGUAAGCUAUGUAGAAUUUAAUGAGAAGGCUAGCAGUAAAGCAACACCUAGACCCCAUUUGUGGGAUUUCACUAGGCUUCUUGUUGUUGCUAGCAAUAAAGCAACAAACAAAGAACUUCUAUAAUCCAUUUUGGGCUUACAUAAGAUACUUAUAUUGCACAUACACAAAUACUGUUACAAUGCAAACAAUAGAUCUCAACAUUUGCCGGUUAUAAAACAAAUCCUGCAGAUUCAAAAUUUCAGAAGAAACGAGAAGGGGGAUUACAAACUUCCAAAUACCUACUCUUCUGACAUUAUAUUCCAUAUAAAUUCAAAUUACUCUUUCCUAAAGAAACAAUCUUGAGCCUUAAAAAGAUAUUAGUAAUAAACUAAAAUCUUAUUGGUCAAACUAAAGUAGUAGUUCUCAAAUGGUAAUCUCUUGGUAACUGUCCACUUGAGGAGUCACUAGUGACAGUAGGUCGUCUCUCUACCCUAAGAAAAGAAGUAUUUCUCUAUCAAAUGUGUUGCCUGAAAGUACAGAGACAAGAGAGAGAACCAUAGUUUCUCAAUCUUUUGCAAACAUAAAUCAUCAUUUUACAUCUUCUCAAGAAUCAUCAUUGAUCAAGGUACUUGAUAACUGAUUCUUUUAUUAUGUUUGUGAAAAUCACCAGGUUCUAUGAUCGUGGAUUAUGCUCACUCCAUAUCGUUCAUUACAAUCUAGUAAACAAAAUUUCUUAUACCAAUACUUAAAAUUAGGACAUUCUUUUCUCUCACCAAUCUAGAGAACAUCCCAUCGCUCGGACAAACAGCGAAAUGUAAAAACACCCUAAGUAUCUUUCAAUUAGAAAAUCUAAAGGCAAUCCACUUCUCAUCCAGAAUCCAGUCACCACAUGGAAGCAGAAUUCCUUCUUUAAUAAAAUGACAAUAACAACAGUUACGCCUCAGUCCCAAACAUAUUGGGUCGGCUACAUGAAUCCUCGCUAUGGCGGAGCUAGAAUUUAGUCUACACCCUGUAUUUGUAUCAAGAAAACCACUAAAUAUGUCCAAAAACUAAAUUCAGAACCACACCUGAUGUCAUUAUCCUAGAAUUUAGAACCUAUAAAUUUCAAGUCCUGGCUCUACCACUAAUCUUCACUGACCAUAUUACUCCAUUUAAACUCAUCUCAUGCCAUUAUAAUAAAAUAUCGGAAUCGAACUACAAUGUUGAUAAUAAUAAUAUACAAAUGGAAAGAAAAAAAAAGAGGCAAACCUGGUUUGUAGAAAACAGAGAGGCCAAAAUCAGUAGCCUUGAGAGAAGCAUCCUCAUCAGAACUGAGAAACAAGAAAUUCUCAGGCUUGAGAUCUCUAUGCAUAACACCUAAUGAAUGACAAGCCUCAACAACACCAACAAUUGUUUUAAUCAAUUUAGCAGCUUCUCUUUCGCUAUAAUGUCCUUUCUCAACAAUCCUAUCAAAAAGCUCUCCACCAGCACAAAGCUCCAUAACUAUAUGCACAUAUAAUGCAUCUUCAUAAGUACCCUUUAUUCUUACCACAUUUGGGUGCUCAGAUAAAUGAUGCAUUAUUUGAAUCUCUUUCCAAACAUCCUCAUAAUCUUCUUUACAGAUCAGUUUCUUUUUGGGUAUUGUCUUACAAGCAUAAAGAUUGCCACUUGAUUUUUCUGUACAAAGAUGGGUUGUUCCAAAUUGACCUUGGCCUAACUUUUUGCCUAUUGUAUAAAGACUCUGAAGACUUUGAGUCUUGUAAGGAAGAACCCAAACAGAUGAUUUCUUGGACUCAGUUGCUGGUUUUGGUUCCAUGUUAAUGGAGAUGUGGUCCUCUGAAUCUUGAUGCAGAGAGUUUGAAGAAACUGGAAAACAAAAAGUUGGGGCUUUUUUCUCUUUAUUCUUUUUCCUCUUUGCUAUUUUACGAGAGUUUGAAGAAAUUGGAAAAGAAAAGUUGGGGCUUCUUUUUCUUUAUUCUUUUUCCUCUUUGCUAUUUUACUUAAGAUUUUACGCUUCUCUAGAUUCGCUCCAUUUUGUUUUACUGUGUGCUGCUGACUGUUUGUCUCAAAAUAUGGUACUACUAUUUGUUAGGUAGUUUAAUGGAUGCCAACGUUUACACUGAUUUCUCCUUUUUCAUUUAUCUUCAGUUUUUAUUUUCUUUUUUUGUUUCUCACUAAGGGUCCCUUUGGCCACAAAAGAAAAAUUAACUUUUUUUCCGAAAUUUCACUUUCUUCAGAAUCAAUGUUUAGUCAUAAAUUUUUUAAUUUCAUUUAAAGAUGAAUUUUAAAAUUUUUUAAAAAUUUAAAUAUUCUAAAAUAUUAUUUUUCAAAAUUUUCACUUCAAAUUAUUCAAAACUUCAAAAAUAGCCCAAAAUUAUAUUCAUGUCCAAACUCAACUCUAAUUUUCAAAUACUAUUUUUACUUUAAAUUUUUCUCUUUUUAUUUUAUUUUUUCAAAAUUUUACAAUUCUUAUGUCCAAACGCCCACUAAUUAUCCGAUAUCCAAUUUUUCCAUAAUUUUUUUUAGGGGUGAAAGAAUCUUAUCCAUCUCACCAUUAACCUUGUGGUCUCUAACUCUGAUAAGGCAUUCAAUAGAGAAAUUGGAAUUGUUGAGAAACUUUUAAGUGGGAAUUUAAAAUAGUCCUCAGUAUAAGAAUUUAGAAAGCACAUUUAAAAUCUAACAAUUUUUUUAUAAGAAAAAUUGUAACGAUAUAAUACAAGUAUUAAAAUUAAUUUUAAGAAUAGUCAUUCAAUAUGUAUUUUAUAACGAUAUAAUACAAGUAUUAAAAUCUAACAGUUCCUCUUCGCAUUUUUCUUGUUUUACUUAUGGAAAUGGGUCCACAAGUGGGUGCUUUUAUUUUUUGAUAGAUAUAUUUAAGACGGGGAUGUCGUUCACUUUUCACUAGAGAUAAUCUUGUGGUAUGUAUGUACAUGUUCAUGCAUCAAAUACAUAUUUCUGGAUGUAUGACAUAUGUUGACAAUUAAAUGAGCUGACUUUUUUAAUUGUUUUUGUGUCCAAGUAAAGCUCACUUGAUUGCUACAGGCUGUAAUAAUUAAAACUAGAGGUUCAAGUGCAAAAGCAGGCAAUUAUAUUAUAAACUUUAAGUAUCUCUCUUUUAAAAUCAAAUAAUAGUGCUAGUUCACCUUAAAUUAGUGUCACUUGACAAUAAUUACUUCGAAAAUAAAUGAAGUUUGUCUAGGAUAUUAACCUCUGUUCGAAUAAAGUAUGACUUGACUAUCAAAGCAAGUAAAAAUGAUGUGUAGUAAUCACUAAUUAAAGGUAUUUUUAAUUUUUAUCUAUUAAUUAUAAUGCUUAAUAAAAUAGUCACUAUUAAUUAGGAAAAGACUAUUUUACCCUUCCUUCAUAUGCCAAAGGCCCAAAAAAACCCACGUUUUUUUCAUUUAGAAGAGGAAUAUUUGACAGGGGGCUAAUUUCGUGUGUUCUCUGCACUCUAUCAUCCUCGCAUGCAUACAAUCUUCAGUAAAUCUUUCUCCUUCUUCAUCUUCUCCGAAUCGAUCAAUCUAACUGGUAUUUUUUUUGUAUGUAUUUUUAUUUUUCUAUAUGUGUAAUCGCGUUCAAUGCCCUGUCAAGUAUGUGUGAAAUUUCAAAAAUGAUCAUUAUAAGUUGACUCAGUGUUGGAGAUGUAGCAUAUUUUUGUGAUGCUGUUAUUCAGAAAUUUUUGGUGUUGAAAUAUGUAAUGUGUUUGUGGUUAUUGAAAAAGUAGCGUAUUUUUGUGAUGAUGUUAUUCAGAAACUUUUUACGUUGAAAUGUGUAAUGUAUUUGUGGUUGAUUCAAUAUAUUUGAUUAUGUAAGUACAUUUCAUAAAAAUAGUCGUAGAAAAUCAUAAGCUUACAGUGUUUCUGAAUUUUUAGUUAACUGUGUUCAUGAAAGAUAAGGAUCAAACGACAUUAACUUUUAAAGUUGGAAUUCAAAGUUCUAGUUAACUGUGUUUAUGAAAGAUAAGGAUCAAACGACAUUAACUUUUGAAGUUGGAACUCAAAGUUAAGGAGUGAGUGUACUUAACUUUUGAACUUGAAACUUGAAGUUAAGGACUAAGUAUCCUUAACUUUGGAAUUUGAAAGUUGAAGUUCAGGACCAAAUGUCCUUAACUUUUCAAGUUGAAACUAUAAGUUAAGGACUGUUUGUUCUUAACUUUUUAACUUGAAACUUGAAGUUAAGGACACAAUGUCCUUACCUUUUGAAUUUGAAACUAUAAGUUAAGGCCUGCCUAUUCUUACCUCUUUAACUUGUAAAUCUAAGUUAAGGACUAAGUGCCAUUUACUUUUGAACUUGGAAUUCAAAGUUAAGGACUGCAUGUCCUUAACUUUUAAACUUGAAACUCAAGUGUCCUUUGCUUUUGAACUUGGAAUUCAAAGUUAAGGACUGCAUGUCCUUAACAUUAAACUUAAAACUUGAAGUUAUGGACCAAGUGUCCUUAACUUUUGAACUACGAAUUUGAAGUUCAGGACCUACUGUCCUUAACUUUUUAACUUUAAACUUUAAGUUACGGACUGCUUGUCCUUAACUUUUUUACGUGAAACUUGAAGUUAAGGACCAAGUCCCUCCAACAAACUAUAUGUCCUAAUCUUUGUUUUCUUUUUCCUUAUUUGUAGUGCGAUAAUGGAAGGAGAUCGUGUGUUCAAGUAUGAUGAUUGGCGUAAUUUUAUAGUGUUGGAAAGGAGAUUUAAAAUAUAAGGAAACAACUAAAAGUUUUUUGUCAAACAGGCAGUGGAAGAAGUUGAGGGAUGGUAUUUUCGGCAACUUCUUCCGAUUACAAAGUGUGAAGUUCUGUGGUAAAAUUAUUCAUUGUAUAUUGCUUUCAGAAUUGUGAAUAAUGACCCUGAUUCAAUGAAAUUCAAGGUAUUUGACCGUGAAAUUAAGUUUACACGUAACGCAUUUCAUCUAUUUACUGGUUUAAAGUGUUAUUCCUCAUUGGACAUCAAAGGUUUACAUGAGAAAAAGAAUAGGCUUUCGAAAGUCUAUUUCCCCGGAAAGGAUAGAAUUAAGUUGGGUGAUUUGUUUAAUUUUAUUUCUAGUCACCCACAUGGUACAACUUCAUUAUUUGUAGGCAGCGAUGAUAAUGCUGUGAAGUUGGCAACAAUUUAUUUUGUUGAAUCUGUUUUGAUGGGCAAGCGGAAGAAUAGGAAUGUGCCCGAGCAGAUAAUGAAAGUUGUCGACGAUGACGUACUCUGCUCUUCUUUCAACUGGGACUCUCUUUCUUAUGACACGCUAUUAAAAUCAUUGAAGAGUUGCUUGAAGCCGAAUGAGAAUAAGAUUGAGAAAGAUAAAGACAAGGAUAGCUACAAUAUACUUGGCUUUCCUUUUGCCUUUUGUGUUUGGAUUAUGGAAGUAAUUCCUAUUUUCCAGGAAAAAUAAUUUGUGAACUUCCAAGAAUCUGGUUAUCCUCGGAUGUUAUGUUAUUCAGAAAUAAAAUCUCCACAGAUUGAUUCUUUGUAAAACAUACUUCCAUAAUGAUAAUGUACGUUAAUGUAAGUUAAUGUAAUUACUAGCUAUUUUUUUGUUUAUUUGUUUUAGUUCUGAAAACUUAGGUUUACUUUUUGUCAUAUAAUAGUUGUAUAAGUUGAUCGAGGUGUUAUCAUUUAUUCCUGUUGAAGAAGAAGAUACAGAGACUCUUAGUGUGAGGAGCCAAUUUCACAAGAUCAAAGCUCAAGACCUUCUUCCACACAAUUUAAUGAACUCAUACUUAAGGAAUUUGUUAGAGUAUGUCUUUCUGCCUUUGAAUAGCAUUAGUUUUUUAUUUGAUUAUUUUUUGUUUACCAUACAUUUUUAUGUUUUUUGAUUCAUAGAUUAUCAUAGAGUUUUAAGAAGAAUCUGUAAGUUGAAGUUGCCAGAAUAAAUCAGAAAAUAGCUGUAGCAGAAAAAAAAAUAUUAGAAUCAAAUCAUGGUAAUAUGAUUAAUUUCAGUCAGUCCAAGUUCAGGACUAUGUGCCCUUAACUUUUGGACUUAAAAGUAUAAGUUAAGGACUUCAUGUCCUUAACUUUUGAACUUGGAAUUCAAAGUUAAAGACUGCAUGUCCUUUACUUUUUAACCUGUAAUUGAAACUUAAGGACUGUUUGUCCUUAACUUUUGAACUUGGAAUUCAAACUUAAGAACUGCGUGUCCUUAACUUUUGAACCUUCAAGUCAAACUUAAGGACUCAUGACCUUAACUUUUUAACCUGUAAUUUAAACUUAAGGACUGCAUGUCCUUAAGUUUUUAACUUAAAACUAUAAGUUAAGGACUACUUGUCCUUAACUUUUUAACUUGGAAUUCAAAGUUAAGGACUGCCUAUCCUUAACUUUUUAACCUGUAAUUGUACCUUAAGGACUACCUGUCCUUAACUUUUGAACCUUCAAGUAAGACUUAAGGACUUAUGUCCUCAACUUUUCAACCUGUUAUUCAAACUUAAGGAUUGUCUAUCCUUAACUUUCGAAGUUGUCCUUAACUUGCUAACUUAGUUUCUUUCUCAGGAUUUAAAGAAAACUCUAGGAUCAAAGCUUGAUACUUUGUUGAAGAUUUAUGGGAAAGAUGAUGAAAGGAACAUAGAGAGAGAAACUAGUGUUCCAAUUACUAAACAUGGAGUUGAUGAUAAUUGUCGUGCGUAUGGGAAAGUUGAUGACGGGAACAUAGAGACAGUAUCUAGUGUUCCAAUUAGAAAAGAUGGAGUUGAAGAAGAUACAGAGCCUACUAUUACAAUCAAUAAAGAUGCAGGCGGUGAUAAACGUGAUGAUAUGGAUGUGCAUGCAGAAGUUCAGUAUGAAAGCGAUUUUAGAGAUGUACAUCUAAAUGAUGAAACUGAGAACUGAUAUUGGGAAAGGUUAGAUAUAGAUUUUGAAUUUUUUUUCGUUUAAAUUUAUAUUCAAUAGAGAAAUACAUAUGAAUUUUUGAGUGAUUACAAAUAUUUGUAGAAUCUAUUGAUGGGGUGGAAUUUGAAGAUGUAGGAGAAUGUCAAGACCAGGAAAAUUCAAAAGAAAAAGGAGAAACAGAAAAAAUUUAUAAAUGUGGAUUGCAAGCUCAGGAGGAUUUAGCAAGUCCAUUGGGAACAAGUGUCAUCGAGAUUCUAUGCAAAUGCUUAGAAAGAGCAUAUGAUCUUUCUACACCUCUGUCAUACAAAAAAAAUUUGAAUUUCAAAUUUGUAUCAAUCAAGGUUUGAUAAAAUUUUCAUUAUAUAUUGUAUGUUAGUUUUAGUGAAUUAUUGGAAUGGCAUUUCUUUUGAAGCUGCAAGGGAACAAGCUGGAGUGGAGUAUCAAGAAAAAAGUGGAAUACAAUCUCAAGAUGUAGAAAAUACUGAAGGAAUAAGCAGAAGUGAAAUUGGUUCCAAAUGCAUAGAUGCAACAUGUGAUCUCUCUAGACCUCCCUCUCUUAACGAUAAUAUUGGAACCGAAGAAAAUGCUAGUGAAGAUAAUGAUAUAAUUGGGAUGAUUUUGACUAUUCAAAUAGAUAAACAAUGUUUUAUUUUAUUUUAUAUAUGUUUGUUUUAUUCAAAGAUUAUUAACAAGUACUAAUUAUGUUACUCUUGUAAAUAUUUUUGCAGAAUUUUGUGAACAAGAAACUGAAGCACAGGGUGAACAAUUGCAAGAUGAAGAAAAUGUGCAAUUGGAAGAAAAAGAAAAUGAUGCAAGUAAUAUCUUAGUUGAAUUGUCUCUUGAAAAAAACAUAAAAAGGUAGUGUGCAAAAUAUAGGUACUGAUUGUGUCCUAAAUAUUAUAUUCAUAUUGAAAUUUUGUCUCUUCAUUUGACGAGUUGCAGCAAUAUAUAUAUAUACACACACACAUAUCAUUGCUGGCAGAGGGCAACAAUGAUGAAGUUGUUAACAAAUAUACGAGGAAAACAAAGAGAGAUAGUAUUGGUUAUGAUGGUCCGUCAUUUUCCAUUAUUUCUUAUACUCCUCCAAGUACACAAAUGAGCAAUUGUGGGGCUUUGACUAUGGAGGUUGAAGGAAAUAUUGAAGAAGAAUUUGGUCGAGGUAAAAGGAAUAAGAAACUAAGUUGGCAGUUGAAAUCUCCUUUUGAUCAGGAAAGAAAAGCGUGAACUUCGAUGCCAGAUGAUCAAAAUACUCCGAAGAGUUCAGGCUGGAUAAAAGCAACAUAUACUUGUAGGUGUAUUUUUCAUUGUGCCACAGAAUAUGCAAAAUUAUGAAGAAAUUCAUUGCGUGGUUGCGCAAGGAGAAAAGGAGAGGUCGCAAAAAAGAGUAAGUCCCUUAACGUAUUUCACUAAGUCCUUAACAUCUGUAAUUGUAAGACUAAUUUUAGGACUAAGUCUCCUAAAAUUUUGACGUUGUAAGUCAAAAUUGAGGACCAUGUGUCCUAAAUAAUCGAAUUUGUAAUUCAAAGUUAAGGACUGCCUGUCCUUAACUUUUGAACCUUCAAGUGAAAUUUAAGGCCUGUCUGUCCUUAAGUUUUGAACUGUAAGGACUGCAUGUCCUUAACUUUUGAACCUUUAAGUCAAACUUAAGGACUGUCUGUACUUAAGUUUUGAACUUGGAAUUCAAAGUUUAGGACAAAUAGACCUUAAGUUUUGAACUUGAAACUAUAAGUUAAGGACUUCCUGUCUUUAACUUUUGAACUUGAUACCUAAAGUUAAAGACAGACAGUCCUUAAGUUUUGAACUUGAAACUUAAACUUUAGGACCAAGAGUCCUUAGCUUUUGAACUUCUAAUUCAAACUUAAGGACUGCAUGUCCCUAGCUUUUGAACUUGGAAUUCAAAGUUAAGGAAAGAUAAUCCUUAAGUUUUGAACUUGAAACUAUAAGUUAAGGACCUCAUGUCCUCAACUUUUGAACUUGAUACUCAAAGUAAAGGACAGACAAUCUUUAAGCUUUGAACUUGAAACUCAAACUUUAUGACCAAUUGUCCUUAGAUUUUGAACUUCUAAUUCAAAUGUAAGGACUACCUGCCCUUAAUUUUUCAACAUGAAAAGGCUAGUUCAAGACUAAAUUCUAACUUUGAUAUUUUCAAAAUUUUCAGGGGGACAAACUGAUGUCUAUGAUGAUGAUAAUGGUGUGAGGAAAAAUCCCUACAAAUUGUAUCAUCAAAAAAUCAAUAGCAAUUCUUCCUUGAGUUUUUGAUAGUAGUCUUGUACUUGAUGAUAAGGUUUGAUAAUUCACAAGGCUUUUAUUUUUAUUCUUAAUUUAUUAUUUUUUAAUUAUUUUAUGACUUAUGGAUUUAUUUUAUUUUUUGCCUUUUUAUGAAGCAUAUUGACAUUGCCCUAUAUUAUAUGAGAAAUAAGGAAUGUGAUCAUCCUUUUCGUUGCACAACUACUGAUAUUCUUUUUGAUAACUACAUGGUGCUUGUGUAUAAAGAUUUCAGUGAUGAUGCUACUGAUGACUUUUGGUGUGUUGAUGAUAAUCAGUUGUUUCUGACACCAUAUGUGUGGGGGGACAACCGUAGAUGUGGAAUUGCUUGGACAGAAGUUGACGAAAUCUUUUUUCCAUGUCGGCUUCCUUCUAGUUGUUUCUGACACCAUAAGUGUGGGGGGACAGUCAUAGAUGUGGAAUUUCUUGGACAGAAGUUGACAAAAUCUUUUUUCCAUGUCGGCUUCCUUCUGAAGAAGAUAAUGCCGUGACACACUUUCUUUUGGGGGUAUUGGACUUGAAUCAAAAAAAGAUUGAUAUAUACGAUUCCAUAUACAGUGAGUCAUAUGAGGCAAGACUGAAUCACAUGGAAAUGUAUGCACACAUGAUCCCCUACUUGCUAAAGGUCUCACAUUUUGACAAACAUCACAAGUCUUUUAGAAAUGUCUUCAAUAAAUUUGAUAUUCAAUGGCAAAGAUCACCACGCCAAAUUUGAUCGUACAUGUUGUUAUUUGUUAUACUAUUUAUAUGUACUUUAGAUUUAUUGUUUAAUUCAUUGCAUAUCUUACAUUUCUCUUAGGACUGAUUAUGGUGCAUUCUUGAUCAAAUAUUUUGAGUUGCUGAUGAUUGGAAAGGAUGUGGAGCAAUUCAAAUCCGAAGACAUAAAAGACUUUAGAAAAGAACUUGUUGCAAAUAACUUGGGCACAUGGUGAAUGAUCUGGUUAUGAUACUCGACCAGAAAAUAUUGGUGAUGAUUAUGAGAGUGAAAAUGAAACCUGUUGUCCAAAGGAGUUGUAGUUUAGUUUUUAAAAAGUUAGUUGUGGAUGAUCUUUUGCAUAAAAUUGUUGUAAAGGAUAGAUGUGAUUCUGCAAGUUUUGAAAACUUCUGAAAUAUUUUGUAAAUUCUAAAAAAGGCACUUAUAUUUUGUUGGCAUAGCGUAAUUUGUUGUCACAGCUAUGCAAAAUUACCAUUUUAGAAGUUAUAUCAAGCAAUCAUAUUAUUAAUUUCUUUGGUUCUCUCAAGUGUUGAUUUGUCCAUUGAGUUUGUUAGUAUUAGUUCAUGACUAAGUGUAAGUGNNNNNNNNNNNNNNNNNNNNNNNNNNNNNNNNNNNNNNNNNNNNNNNNNNNNNNNNNNNNNNNNNNNNNNNNNNNNNUAAAUUCAAAGUUAAGGAUCAAAUGUCCUUAACUUUUGAACUUGAAACACAAAUUUAAGGACUUUCUUUCCUGAUCUUUUGAAUGUGUAAUUCAAACUUAAGGACUGGAUAUCCUUAACUUUUGAACCUGUAUUUCAAACUUAAGGACUCGUGUCCUUAACCUUUGAACUUUGAACUCAAAGUUAAGGACUGCAUGCCCUUAAUUUUUGAACGUAUAAUUCAAACUUAAGGACUGCCUGUCCAUAGCUUUUUAACCAUCAAGUCAAACUUAAGGACCGUUAUCCUUAAAUUUUGAACUUAGAACUCAAAGUUAAGGACAGACAGUCCUUAAGUUUUAAACUUGAAACUAUAAGUUAAGGACUUCUAGUCCUUAACUUUUAAUCUUUGAAAUCAAAGUUAAGACAGGAGUCCUUAAGUUUUCAACUUUGAACUAUAAGUUAAGGACUUCAUGUGCAUAACUUUUUAACCAGCAAGUCAAACCCAAGGACUGUUGUCCUUAACUUUUGAACUUAAAGCUCAAAGUUAAGGACAGACAAUCCUUAAAUUUAGACUUGAAACAAUAUGUUAAGGACUUCCUGUCCUUAACUUUAAAUCUUUGAAAAGAAAGUUAAAGACAGACUGUCCUUAAGUUUUGAAAUUUCAAGUCGAACUUACGGACUCCUGUCAUUAACUUUUAAUCUUUGAACUUAAAAGAAACAAAAACAAGGUAAGAAGAAAGAAAUUUUGAAAAUUCAGACAUCUGCUCAAUAGAAUAAUCUAAAUGAAUCCAAUUUAUAGAAAAAACUAAAAAGAGUCGAUAAACAUAAGUGGAUAUAUUUACUCUUCUCUAUGCUUUCUUGAAAAUGGAUGGAGAGCCGGAGAAUAUAUACCAGAUGUUCUAUUAUGGCCAAUUCUUCUGCAACGACCAUAUUUGAAUGUUAUGUUUUAUGACUCGGUAGCAGGAGUAUGCCUUUUCUUUUGCCUUCUACCUGGCGUCACUUUAAAAUUUGGAGGUUUAACAAUUUGUGACUUAACAAUCUCCAGUACAAUCAAAGAAUCAGUAUGUCCUACAGGAUGUAUUUGUCUUUCAUAUGUUUUCAGCCAAGAUUCCUUUAAGUACCAAUGCGAACAAAAGUUGGACUUCUUGAUGCUUCUCUUCUCGAUAGCUGAAACUGCAUGUAUGCAUGGUAAUUCAUCAAAUUGAAACUGAAAACAAUCACGUGUUCUUUUGUUGAGGUCCACCAAGAAAGUUAUUCCUUCUUCUUCAACUCUAGAACGCAAUGAAUCAACAGGGAAGACCUUUAAUGUUGAAAAAUUGUAAGUUAGUACAUUAUGUUAAAUAAUAUCAAAAUCAGAAGAUAAAAAUAAAACAUAAUACUUGCAUUCAAAUUAAAUGCUAAAUCUAUUCUUUUCUUCAAUUGCUCCUCUACCCAACAAGAAACAUCAUAAAUGUUCAUUCUGCUUUGUUUCUUCUUUCAUAAAACCAAUGUUGUAGCUUCCCUUGAAUGAAAUCUAUCAUUCUUAAUAUAGGCAGCUCCCUUGCUUCUAAUAUGACAGAAUUCAUUGACUCAACUAUGUUUGUUGUGAGCAUGUCAUAUCUUUGUCGUGGACUACAAGAACGUGCCCAUCUUUCCUGUGGUUCUUCCAUCAAGUAGUCAUAAGUCUUCUUAUCUACUUUUGCUAUAUCUGACAUUUAUAGGUCAAAUUCUUUGGGCAUGUAUACUCUUGCAGCACUUUGAAAAUGUAUGACCUCACUUUUCAUCUUCCUUCGCUUUAGGUUGUGCUCCAAAUAAUAGAUGCAAAUCCCAUGAUGGCUUUCAAGAUAUGCCUUUGCAAUGCCAUUUGCAAUAGCUUGAUGCCUAUCUAAUAAAAAAAAAUUAAAUUCUCACCGUUCCCAUUUACAUUCUGAAGCUGACUAAAGUACCACUCAUAGGAAUUGUUAUUUUCAUAUUCUGCUAUUCCAAAGGCUAGUCGGAAAAUUUGGUUAGUUGCAUCCUUUGAAACUGAAAUCAUUAAAACACCACGAAAUUUUGACUUCAAAAAAGUUGCAUCAAUAAUAAUCACUGGUCUACAAUGAUUCCAACCAGAUAUUGAUGAUCCAUAUGCAUCAAACAUAUAAAGAAACAUGAAAAUACAAUAUAAAACAAGGUUAACAGAAGUUAAGGACAUGUAGUCCUGAACUUCAGAUUACAAGGUUAAAAGUUAAGGACAGUCAGUCCGUAACUUAGAGUUACAAGUUAUAAAGUUAAGGAAAUGCGGUUCUUAACUUUGAUUUCAAAGUUCAAAACUUAAGGACAUUCCUUAACUUUGAAUUACAAGUUCAAAAGUUAAGGACAGCCAGUCCUGAACUUCUUGUUACAACUCAAAAGCUAACAAGGUUAAAGACAACAUGUCAUAAAUUUUAUAAAACGUACUAAUAAACAUUUUUUGAUUGUUUACAUGUUGUUGUCGUCUAUCUUUAUGUUAGUAUAAGUUCCCAGGUUUUUACUUGUCAUCAUAUACAAGUAUGAAGACAAUAAUUUAUAAUUCUCUUCGGGAGUUCCUCUUAUUAAAGCGGAAGCAUGUUGAAUAGCACGCCACGCCUUGUGGUAUCCAAUGUCUAGUCCAUGCAAUAUUUGCAUCUCUGCCAUGACAAAAGCUGGUGUAACUUCAAACCAUGGGUCCCGAAGAUUGUCGAUAAUGUAAGCACUAAUCAACUUUGAAGUAGCAUGCCUUUGAUCUGCUUUCAUUGUGUUAACAAAGCAGUCAUACUUUUUCUCAAUCUUUACUAUCUUGAACAGUAUUAAGUCUUUGAUUCUGAAAGCACGCACACACCAACAACACCUAUCAUCAUUGCAUUUCAACAAAUAUCUUGUUGAUCUUGAUCUAACAACCUUGAAUUCAAAUGUCCUUUGAUUGCUAUAUUGGGAAAACAAUUAAUUAUACUCUUCUUCUUGUCAAAUACUGAUCCGACUUUUAUUUCUUCCAACGAAGCAUUUUCUCUUAAUAUCGUAGUUGGGGAUUCUUUUUGUUUAAAAUUUGAUAUUCGUCUAGUUAGUUGAGUAGAGGUUUUUUCAGCAACUUCUUGGAUUACUGGUGCACUCUCUAAGACUUGAAUACCCAAAGCUUGUUCGUUGUUAAUCUCUAUAAUGCUCUGUCCUUCUACUUGAAUAGAAUCAAAUGUUUGAAGCACCUUUUCAGUUAUUGGUUGAGCUUCAUCCACAUCUAUUUCCCUUAUUUGUUGACAUGUGUUUGAAGCACCUCUUCAACCAUAUCUAUUUCUAUUAUCUGUUAGCAUUUGUUUUGAUUGUCAUGUUGAGUUUCUGUGUUGACAUGUUCAUUGCUUGUUUAUCCAAAAACUCUUUCUGAAAUAUGAACAAUGAAACGAUAGCCCUUGAAGAGUGAAUGAGUUUUUAGUAACUCUAUACAUGUGUGAAGAUCUAAAUCUUUGGAUACAAGCAUUACUUUGCUUGUUCCAAGGUUGAUAUCAAACCAUAUCACUGCUUCAAACUUUUUUCUCUAUCCAAUUCGUACAAGCAUUCCUUUACUUGUUCCAAGGUUAAUAUCAAACCAUAUCACUGCUUUAAACUUGUGUCUAUCCAAUUCAAUAAUGAAAUCUUCAAACCGAAUUGACUUAGGUACUAGAACAAGCUUUGUUUGAUUAUCAAGAUAUCUAUAGUCUUCAGUCCAUCUACCAUUAAAAGCAACUAUAGUGCAUAUUGUUUCCAUCCUGCAAGUCAAGAUAAUGGGAAACUCAUGACAUAUUUUAUAAAGCAAUACUUGUAUAAUUAAGAACUAGUACUAUAAGUUCAAGACCAAGUUAAGGACAAAGUGUCCUUAAUAUUUUAACUUUGAAUUCAAAGUUAAGGACUGCCUACCUUUAACUUUUGAACAUGGAAUUCAAACUUAAGGACGGUUGUCCUUAACUUUUGAACUUGGAAUUCAAACAUAAGGACAACAUGUCCUUAACUUUUGAAUCUUCAAGACAAACUUAAUGACUCAUGCCCUUAACUUUUCAACCUGUAAUUCAAACUUAAGGACUUCAUGUCCUUAAUGUUUGAACCUGCAAGUCAAACUUAAGGACUUGAUGUCCUUAACUUUUGAACCUGCAAGUAAAACUUAAGGGCUUCAUGUCCUUAAUUUUUGAACUCCAAGUCAAACUUAAGGGCUCAUGUCCUUAACUUUUCAAUCUGUAAUUCAAACUUAAGGAAUGUUUUAACUAAUAAGUGUAAGUUAAGGACCAAAUGUCCUUAACUUUUUCAAUUUGAAACUCAAACUUCAGAACUUAGUGUCAUUUACUUUUUGAAAAUAAUUUGCAAAACUAUGACAGUAUGUCCUUAAUAUACAGAAGAACAUCAACAAAGUUAAGGACAUUGUGUCCUAUGUCCUUAACUUUUUCAAAAUAAUUUGCAAAACUAUGACAAAUGUCCUUAAUAUACAAAAGACCAUCAACAAAGUUAAGGAUAUUGUGUCCUCAACUUUUUCAAUUCAAUUUGCAAAAUGAGGACACUAUGUCCUUAAUAUUAUGUGCUCAAUUUUUAUAGAAUUAUCUUAGGAGGCGAUGUCCUUAACUUUAUCAAUCCAGAAAUUCAAAAUAAAAAAUCAAAUUUCUACUUACUGUAUAAAAAUCAAUAGAAAUCAGAAAGAGUAUAGCUAUGGUCAAAAAAAAUCAAAUAUCUACUUACUGUAUAAAAAUCAAUAGAAAUCGGAAAGAGUAUAACUAUGCCGAAAUAAACACCAAUAGGAACACAUAAAAGUAUAACUUACUGUAAAUAUAUAUCGAUUUUUGGAUGAGAAUGUUGAAUUUAAAUCAGAAGAGAAUUUUCUUCAAUUUCGACAAUCACAGUGAAGUAUUGUUGCGUUGCUGCUGCGACUGUGUUGUUGUUGCUCGUUAUAGCGUAGGUAUACGUUAUAGCAGAAGGUUACUUUUGUCCAGUCAAGUAUAAGUUUAUUAAACUAGUGACUAAAAACUAAAGACAUUUAAAACAGUAUCUUUAAAAUAAGGACAUGUGCUGUUAGUGGCUAUUUGUGCACAUCCGCCUCAAAACAAAUUUGGAUAGAACUAAUAACCGGGUCUCAAAGAAGUAACCAUUAAGCUUAUAAAUGUGUUCAAUAAUGAGAGGCAAAGUGUACUAGGAACUACUUUUUUGACUGAUUGGCUGAACAUAUAAUAGAACUGAUAGAUCAAUGUGGGCAAAGGCCAUUGUUGGUUCUUUUUAAUCUAAUACAAUGUUGAUUCUGGUUGGCUCAUGUAUAUAAUUUGGUAUACUAAUAUGAAUUCUUUGUUUAUGAAACAGGACUAUUUUCCAUAUUUUGACUGAAUGAAAUUGCUUCAUGUAUCAAUUUACCAAAGCAGGUUGCAUCACUAAUGGAAUAAUUCAGAAUAUUUUGCGUUGCGAACCUCUUCAUCUUACCUUUACAGGAUUGGAAAGCAGUGUAUAAACAUGCUUUUCUUGCAUAUAAUAAGUUAAUAACCAUUGAAAUUGUUUUUGUUUUUCCUUUCCUUCACUGAGCCGAGGGUCGAUUGGAAGCAACCUCUCUGCCCUUUCGGGUAGGGGUAAGGCCGUCUACAUAUUACCCUCCCCAUACCCCACCUUGUGGGACUAUACGUGGUAGUUGUUGUUGUUGUUGUUGUAUGUGAGCCCGUCUACAUAUUACCCUCCCCAGACCCCANNNNNNNNNNNNNNNNNNNNNNNNNNNNNNNNNNNNNNNNNNNNNNNNNNNNNNNNNNNCAUAUUCCCCUCCCCAGACCCCACUUUGUGGGACUAUACUGGGUAGUUGUUGUUGUUGUUGUUUUAUCGUCGGACAACCGAGAAAGGCAAAUAAAUAUUACUACAAACAGAAGGUUACAAUUGCUGCAGCCAGUCAAACAAAAAAAAACCUGGUGUUUUUCAUCUUUAUUGUAUAAGAAAGAAAGUAAAACGAUUUUUUCGGUCCAUCGAAAAACACAAAUUGCAGCUGAAAUAAUGCUUAUCACUAUUCUUUCCUCUGUCAAUUCCUGUAGUAAUUACAUCUCCAGUUACCGUCCCCAGGCAGCUUCUUUAAUUGUCAGAUACCUUAAAAAAUGUGUAUGAUAGGAUUAUAUUGUUGAUACCAUCCAUUUUGGGGUCGGCUUCAAACUCAGGAUCAAUGUAAAAGAAAACCUACAAAUGCAAGUUGAUUAGUGUGUUAAUUUGUAUGAACACAUGGAUUUGGAAGGAGUAAUAAUCUUCAGGCAACGAUAGUUGAUGGGUUACUUACAGGCAUGUCAAUCUGCUCCCCAGGAAGCAAUUUCUGUUCCUCAAAGCAAAAACACUGAAUUUUAUUGAAAUACACAGCAGCCUGAAGAGAGAAAGAUUAUGUUUCCCGUUAGAAACUUUGAUGUUAAAGUGCCUAUAUGGAUACAUAGUACUGCACUGCACCUACUUAUCAAAAAAAUAACUUCAUUGCACCAUGUCGCACUAAAGAAAAUCAAACAGUAUUGUGCCAACGGAUAGUGGAAGCAACUAGAUUUAAAUAAACUCCUUUCUAAAAUAGCUUAAACAUUUUGCAAACAGCGAGUUGAUUGUUAAAAUGAAAUUACAGAAAAGUAAGUGACAUUACAUUCCUCCUUAGACGUGCAACCAAUACCAAAAGGAUUUUCCAUAUAGUCAUAUACUGACUAGAAAAGGAGAUAUCAUGAGACUAAAACCUAGAUAGAAGAGUAGGUUAAAGGAAGUAUAGGCACCUUAAUGAUCAAGGUCUUUCAUUGUUGGAGACAUUAUUAAGUAAAGAAAUUAUCCUUAUUAAAAAAAUAAUUAAGUAAAGAAACGCUUAUUCUCUCUAACAGAGUAAACUUUUAAAUGAGUUGUCACUUAUUGCAUGAUAUCAAAGCAGGCAAGACGUCCUGCAUUCAAAUUUCACCGCCAUCCAAAAACCAAAUAGAAUUUUCAUGUGCUUGGCCCGAUGAGAAAGAAUAAGGCUCACUCGUGAGGCAACAUAAGAUAUAAUUAAGUAAAGAAAAGUGUACCCUCUCUAAUAGCAGAAAUUUUCAGAUGAGGUGGUCAAACAUUUCAAAUUUACCAUAUAAUACAUAAACAUAAGACAAGAGGGGGUUGCUCUAAUGGUAAGCAACCCCCACUUCCAACCGAGAGGUUGUGAGUUAGAGUCUCCCCAAGAGCAAGGUGGNNNNNNNNNNNNNNNNNNNNNNNNNNNNNNNNNNNNNNNNNNNNNNNNNNNNNNNNNNNNNNNNGGAUUGCUCUGAUGGUAAGCAACCUCCACUUCCAACCGAGAGAUUGUGAGUUCGAAUCUCCCCAAGAGCAAGGUGGGAAGUUCUUGGAGGGAGGGAUGUCGGGGUUCUAUUUGGAAACAGCCUCUCUACCCACGGGUAGGGGUAAGGUCUGCGUACACACUACCCUCCCCAGACCCCACUAAGUGGGAUUAUACUGGGUUGUUGUUGUUGUUGUUGUAAUGAUGAGCCUUCACAAGCUUACUUAUCUGUUUCAAUUCCUAACUGGGACUUCCAGUAGUAAGAGCUUCGACACAUUCCUUCAGCUCUUUAGUUAGCUAAUUCGAGCGAAUCACUCUCUUUACUUCACUAAAAAAAAUAGCUAAAGGUCUUUGAAUUUUUUUUUACACAAAAAAAGAAACACCCAAAGGAGAUAAAGCUCCAGGGCCUGACAGUUUGAAUAUGGCCUUUUCUCAGAGUUGCCAUAUACUAAGGGAGAACAUCUUCAAAACUUUGGUGAAAUUUUACCAUGAAGAAAAAAUUGGAGAAAAGCUCUAAUGCUACAUUUAUUACUCUAAUCCCUAAGAAGAAAGGAGCUCUGGAAAGUGGAAACCAAGGAUUUCAGACCUAUUAGCUUGUUGAGCAACAUCUAUAAAUUAUCUAUAAAGCGCUCACUGAGAGAUCAAAGCUGGUUAUCCAGAAACUUGUGACUAGCAACCAAAUGCAUUCAUCAACGGGAAGUUGCUGGCUGACGCAGUCUUGGUUGGCAGUGAUCGUGUGACGACCCAAAGGGUCAUCACUUGUUUUUUUACUCAUUCCGUGUCUCCGAGGCCCUGAAAACCUCAUUGAGGGUCGCCUCAAUCUGCGUGCGCAGUCUGGGCACGUAACCGGAAAGCUUAAAUAUGAAUUCUGUGUGAAAAAUGAUGAAUUUUGAUAUUAAUAUGAUGAAAGUUGACUCUGGUCAAUAUUUUGGGUAAACGGACCAGAACCCGUGAUUUGACGGCCCCGAAGGGUCCGCAGGAAAAUAUGGGACAUGGGCAUAUUCCCGGAAUCGAAUUCCGAGGUCCCACGUCCGAGAAACGAAUUUUUAUAAGGAAUUGUUUCCUGAAAAUAACUAAAGAAAUUGGAAAAAUGAAAUUGAUUAAAAGACUGUGGUAUCGAGCUCGUAUUUUGGUUCCGACGCCCGAUACAAGUCUCACAUGUGAUCUAAGCACUUUCUGUAAAGUUUGGUUAAAAACGGACGUCAUUUGACGUAUUUCAGACUUAAGAUGGAAAAUUUGUGUUUCAUGAAAGAAUUGAAAGAAAUCUUAAGCUUUGGGGCUUGAUUCUAUAUAUAUGAUGUUAUUUUGGCGAUUUGAUCGCACGAGUUAGUCCGUAUGAUGUUUUUGAAGUAGUGUGUACCGUAAGCCUUGGGGCUUGAUUCCAUGUAUAUGAUGUUAUUUUGGCGAUUUGAUCGCAUGAGUUAGUCCCUAUGAUGUUUUUGAAGUGGUGUGUAUGUUAGGUUUGGAGCCUUGAGGGCUCGGGUGAGUUUCGAGCAGAUUCCAGGAGGUCUUAGACUUAAAACACCAGAUAUUUCAGGCAGGGAAAAAGCUGCAAGCUUCAGCGCGGUCGCGUCUGCCUUAGACGCGGCCCGCGGUUGUCCUCGCGCGGCCCGCGCUGCAAUCUCCAGAGAACCAGCAACCUUCAUUCCACCAGUGCGGCCGCCUGAGCGCGGGCCGCGGUGGAAGCCGUGCGGCCGCAAUCGUCUAUGUGCGGCCCGCGUGGCAAGCUUCAGAGAACCAACAAGUCUUCAUCCCACCAGCGCGGCCGCGGUCCUUUUUGCGCGGUUCGCGCUGGGCGCGUCUGAAAGUAUAAAUACACGGGAUUUUCAGUUAUUUCUUACUUUUCAAAAACCCAAAACAUAGGAGGCGAUUUUUCAAGCAAUUCUUCUUCUUCAAAACGUUUGGUAAGUGAUUUCUAAAUUAUUUUCUUCACUCCUUAACAUCUUUUAACAUGAUUUCAACUUCAAAUCAAGAUUUUAAUGGGAAAAUUUGGGAAUUUCGGGUAGAACCUAAGUUUUCUAAAAUUGGGGGUUUUGGACCCCAAUUCGAGGUCUGAUUUCAAAAUAAAUCAAUAUUUGAGUUCAUGGGGAUGGGUAAACGAGUUUUGGUUCGAACCUCGGGUUUUGACCAUGCAGGCCCGGGGGCAUUUUUGGAAUUUUUGGGAAAAACUUUUGAAAACCCAUUUUUAUGCAUUCAAAUUGUUCCACUUAGCAUUUGUUGAUGUCUUUAAGUAAUUUGUGACUAGAUUCAAGCGAAUUGGUGAAGGAAUAGAGGGGUAAAGCUGUAAUUGAGGCUUGAGUGAGUUCAAGAAAUCGAGGUAAGUAUCCGGUCUAACCUUAGCUUGAGGGAAUAGGAGUUGAGUCUUGUUUGUCACUUGUUAAUUGUCGAGUAGGGUGUAUAGGCAUUGUGACGAAUAUCUAUACAUCGGUGUCUAGCAUGACCAUGAGUCUUUAAAUGUGAUUAUCAUGACUUAGUUGUGAAUUCCAUGUUAAAUUGAGGAUUUCUAUAUAUUGUAAAGAACAUGUGAAAAAUAUUAUGAUAAUUUGAUUUUGUGGAGCAUUGGCUCGGUCGUGAUAUGAAUUGAGAAGGUAUAUGGGAUUAUGAAUUCUUUGGAGCAUUGGCUCACAUGAUAAAGUGAGAUAUGAGGUAAGAAAUGAAAGAAAGCUUACGAGUUAGCGGUUAUUCGGUUAUUCCCUUGCCGGGAUGUUUUGUUGUUUGAUUGUUGUUUUUGUUCCCUUGUCGGGGUUCCUAUUUUUGUUUGUCUAUUCCCUCGCCCCAUUGUUGUGAUUGUUGCUUGGGUGAGGAAGAGUGAUAAAGCACGAAGGGUGAUGCCGUGCACGUUCGUGAUAUGAAUACUAAUGCACGAAGGAACAUUCCGUGCCAUGAUAUGAAUACUAAUGCACGAAGGAACAUUCGGUGCCAUAAUAUGGUUACUAAUGCACGAAGGAACAUUACGUGCCAUGAUAGGAGUGUUUACGCACGAAGGAUCAUUUGGUGCCAUCAUUUUUGUGAGGUAAAGCACGAAGGGUGAUGCCGUGUAUUUUGUAUGAUUGAUUUGGUGAGAAUGAGAGUAAAAGCACGAAGGUAGUGCCGUGCAACUGUUGAUUUUCUUAUUCUCGUUGAUAUUUAAGUUGUACGGUUUCAUUCCUUAUUUAUUGAUUGUAGUGUCUGCACUGUAAUAGCCCCACAACAUGCUCCCCUCCCUGUUUUCUUUUGACUGGUUAAAUUCUUUGUGAUGUACUCUAUGCAUACAUAUAUAUUGAACUGCACAUGUUUGAUUGGUAGUUCGGUCCUAGCCUCGUCACUACUUCGCCGGGGUUAGGCCAGGCACUUACCAGCACAUGGGAUCGGUUGUGUUGAUACUACACUUCUGUGCUUAUUUGCAUAGAUCAGAGAGUUGGAGCAGCAGUAGGUUGGGAGCAGGCCUUCAGUCCAGAGUGAGAUACCGAGGUAGCCUUGCAGACGUUCGCGGACCUGGCGUCUCCUUUAUCCUGUUUUAGUGGUUAUCCCUUGUAUUUCGGGACAAACUCUAAUCAUUUCAUUCUAAACAUUGUAUUUAGUAAACUCAUAGAUCGUGAGCUAUGUGACACAAGGUUUUGGGGUAGCGUAUUGUGUUAAUUUCGGCAAUUUUAUCUAAUCUCUUUAAAGUUGAGUCUUCCACUUUAAUAUUUUAAAUGCAAGGUUUUAUGUUACUAUCAUGAAUUGUGAAAAAGGUGAUUAAGUCGUCUUGCCUAGCUCCUGUCAGUAGGCCACAUCACGACUCCUGAAAGUGAAAAAUCCGGGUCGUGACAGAUCGCCAAUGAAUGCCUUGACCAUUACCAAAAAAAAAAAAUAGGGGUACUUUGAAGAUCAGAUAUGGAAAAAGCUUUUACCAGUGUAAAAUGGGAUUUCUUAUUCAGGCUGAUGGGCUCUAUAGGAUUUGGAGCUAAAUGGAUAAAUUGGUUAAGGUACUGUAUUACAACUGUUAGAAUUUCUGUGAUCACCAAUGGUGCACCUGACGGUUUCUUCCCUACUCAGAAGGGUUUGAGCCAUGGAGACCCAUUGUUGCCAUGUCUUUUUAUACUUUCCAUGGAAACAUUUAGCUUAAUGCUAAAAAAGGCUGCUGAAUUAAAAUGGUUAGAGGGUUUCAUUAUUGAAGACAAGAAUGGUUGCAAAAUGGGGGUGUCUCAUAUCCUUUAUGCUAAUGACACAUUAGUGAUGUGUAAGGCAGAUCAAAGUCAACCUCUGCAUCGUAAAUCAAUUCUCUUGCUUUCGAAGCCAUAACUGGACUACAUGUGAAUCGGGGAAAGAACAGUAUCUUUUGUCAAUGUUGAGCAUGUCGUUCAGAAGCUGGCUGCUAUCUUAGGUUGCGAGGUUGAAGCAUUUCCUUCUACAUAUGUCGGCAUGCCAUUGGGUUCUAGAUAUAAAGAUACCAAUGUAUGGCAAAGUGAGAGAAAAAUGCGAAGGAAUCUUGCACGGUUGCACCUAGGAAAAACAAAAAUCUCCUUUGGUAGCAGGUCGACUCUAAUCAACAGUGCGCGGGAUGGUGUUCCCUCAUACAUUAUGUUCCUGUUUCCCAUGCCUACAAGUGUGGUGAGGCAGCUAGAUAGGUUAAGAAGAAAUUUCUAGUGGGAUUGUAAUCAAGAAAAAAGAAAUUUCACCUGGCGAACUGGGAAAUUGUUAUUACUGACAAGAAAUAUGGAGGCUUGGGUGUCAAAAUAUAAAGCUGCAAAAAGAGUGUGCUCCCUAAAUGCAUUGGUAAGACCUAUGCCAACAACAUGCCUUCUGUACCUAAUUAGUGAAUGUGAAAAUUAAAUAGGGUCCUACUGGGGUGACUAUGCUAUGAAAUAAGGCACAUCACCCAUUUGUUGCCAUUUUUGCUAAUCUAUCCAGAAUAAUGUGAUUUGAUACAAGGAUAGAAUUACAAAAUAAAUAACAUUCGACUGUCAACGUAAGGGUAGAACAACGGUAUAUACUGUUUCAAAGAGGGUGGCGACAUGGGAUCUCAUCCUUCACUUCAAUGGCGGAGACAGGACUUUUACUAGAGGGAAUCAAAAUAUAAAGAAGUAAAAUGUACAAGGAAGCCAAGGGAAUUCAACACAUAGUGUGUGUGUAUAUAUAUAUAUAUAUAUAUAUACACGCAAAAAUGUACCUAGUUACACAAAGUAAUUUUCCGGCGAAGGGGUGUCAACUCUUAGGACAAAGAUGGACAGUUCACUUCCCACUUUCAGGCAGAUACUUAGUUUGGCCAUGCAGGAUUCUGUCCUAGCAGCCAUAUGCUCCUCUCUUUUUUUUUGUGGGGGUGGGUGGGUGGGUGGGUGAGUGGGGUAUGUUAAUUAUGGUAUCGUUGAAACCAUAAUUAAUUAUGGUAUGGUUGAAACCAUUCCUUCACUGAGCCGAGGGUCGAUUGGAAACAGCCUCUCUGCCCUUUCGGGUAGGGGUAAGGCCCGUCUACAUAUUACCCUCCCCAGACCCCACUCUGUGGGACUAUACUGGGUAGUUGUUGUUGUUGUUGUUGUUGUUAGUAUGGUUGAAACCAUCAUGUUGGUAAAUGCUUUUGAACAGAGGGAGUACAUCAAUG